RNAcentral lists this ribosomal RNA (464 nucleotides) under uncultured bacterium. Its description in RNAcentral is "partial 16S ribosomal RNA". It matches the Rfam family "Bacterial small subunit ribosomal RNA", at positions 28 to 506 of the family's 1533-position model. The record is from RNAcentral.
GACGAACGCUGGCGGCGUGCUUAACACAUGCAAGUCGAACGGAAAGGCCCCUUUGGGGGUACUCGAGUGGCGAACGGGUGAGUAACACGUGAGUAACCUGCCCUUGACUUCGGGAUAACUUCAGGAAACUGGGGCUAAUACCGGAUAGGAAUCCUUGCUGCAUGGUGGGGGUUGGAAAGCUUCGGCGGUUUUGGAUGGACUCACGGCUUAUCAGCUUGUUGGUGGGGUAGUGGCUUACCAAGGCUUUGACGGGUAGCCGGCCUGAGAGGGCGACCGGCCACAUUGGGACUGAGAUACGGCCCAGACUCCUACGGGAGGCAGCAGUGGGGAAUAUUGCACAAUGGGCGGAAGCCUGAUGCAGCAACGCCGCGUGCGGGAUGACGGCCUUCGGGUUGUAAACCGCUUUCAGCAGGGGCGAAGCUUGUGGUGACGGUACCUGCAGAAGAAGCACCGGCUAACUACGU